GUUGGAGUGUCAAACAAAAUUGAGACUCUGCAGAUUCUUAACCUCCCUAAUCUGAAGAGUAUAUGCAACAAUAAUUUACAAGUUGAGAGAUUCAGUAAUCUUAAGCAUCUGUAUCUAGAAUGUUGUCCGCUACUGGAAAUUGUUUUCUCCUUGUCCCGACAACCAAUGAAUCUUCGGACUCUUGAGAUUAGGUUUUGUGACAAUCUCAAACGUGUAUUUGAGUUUGAUGGAACAACAGUGUCUUCAAUGAAACAUCUAAGGACUCUGCAUUUGUUUGAGCUGCCGGAGUUGAAAAGCAUCGGAGCUGCGUUGCCUUCUCUUGAAAGAUUAACAGGGGGAGAAUGCCCAAAACUUGAUGUCUUUUUUACAUGCUUCUUUAUUUUUGUUUGGGCAAUACAAAACUGGAGUAUGACCCUAAUUUCUGCAGUUGAGGAACAAUCUGAUGACAGUCAGGCCUGCCUUGGUUUGCCGAAGUUCCCUCCCCGAAUAAAACACAUAGCCUCUCAGAAAACAAAUGAAAUUACACAUGAAUGAAGACUUCCAGAACUUUUAGAAAUAACUCCAGGUACCAUGGUUUCUUUGGAUGGUGAGAAGCGGUCCGAUUUGGAGCUUUAUAUUUUCUCGUUUCUGGUGUUGGCUUCUUUACUAUGUUGCUUACUUUGUGAAGAAUAUGCUCUGGUUUGCUGGAUUGUGAAAAUGAUUUGUAUGUUAUAAGAACGAAUAACAUGUUGAUAAGAUUUCAAGUGAAAAUUGCUUGUUCGAUUUAAGCUCAAGCUUUUUUACAUAAAGAUGAGAUGAUUAUAUAGUC
Molecule: non-coding RNA, 808 nt
Organism: Carica papaya (papaya)
Lineage: Eukaryota; Viridiplantae; Streptophyta; Magnoliopsida; Brassicales; Caricaceae
Source: RefSeq, a predicted model, not a curated record